RNAcentral lists this ribosomal RNA (424 nucleotides) under uncultured soil bacterium. Its description in RNAcentral is "bacterial SSU rRNA". It matches the Rfam family "Bacterial small subunit ribosomal RNA", at positions 26 to 447 of the family's 1533-position model. The record is from RNAcentral.
AGAUUGAACGCUGGCGGCAGGCCUAACACAUGCAAGUCGAGCGGCAGCACGGGUACUUGUACCUGGUGGCGAGCGGCGGACGGGUGAGUAAUGCCUAGGAAUCUGCCUGGCAGUGGGGGAUAACGCUCGGAAACGGACGCUAAUACCGCAUACGUCCUACGGGAGAAAGCAGGGGACCUUCGGGCCUUGCGCUAUCAGAUGAGCCUAGGUCGAUUAGCUAGUUGGUGAGGUAAUGGCUCACCAAGGCGACGAUCCGUAACUGGUCUGAGAGGAUGAUCAGUCACACUGGAACUGAGACACGGUCCAGACUCCGUACGGGAGCAGCAGGUGGGAAUAGUUGGACAAGUGGGACGAAAGCCUGAUCCAGCCAUGGCCGCGUGUGUGAAGAAGGUCUUACGGAUUAGUAAAGCUAACGUUUAAGGUU